RNAcentral lists this small nuclear RNA (246 nucleotides) under Marmota marmota marmota (Alpine marmot). RNAcentral's name for it is "7SK RNA (ENSMMMG00000003898.1)". It matches the Rfam family "7SK RNA", at positions 14 to 278 of the family's 331-position model. Rfam says of the family: 7SK was discovered as an abundant small nuclear RNA in the mid-70s but a possible function has only recently been suggested. Two independent studies have found that 7SK RNA binds the CDK9/cyclin T complex (known as elongation factor P-TEFb). Lineage: Eukaryota; Metazoa; Chordata; Mammalia; Rodentia; Sciuridae. The record is from RNAcentral.
GUAUGAAGCUAUAAUAUAUGUCAUCUCAUUGACCACCAGGUAAAUUCCACUGAUCUGACUGGAUCAGGAGAUAUCCCCUACCUCCUUCACCUCUUCAUAUGCAUCCCUCCUGCAGCUGUGUCCUCAGUCUAAGAGGAUGAACAUCCUACUCGGGAGAACUAUCCUUUGACCAAGGGUAUUACAGUAGUUACUUUCUACUGCAAACAAAAUUCAAUUAUUACAUCUUCUUGUUAAAGUAAGCACUUA